CGUGGCAGGUCCUGGAAAAUGAGAAAUCUGUGGAGAAGCUAAAGGAGGUUAUUUCAAUGAAUGCCUCAGAAUUUUCCAAGGUUCAGGUCGCCCUGAAUGAAGGCAAGUUGAGUGAGGAGAAGGUGAAGUCUGAGUGCCACCAGGUUCAGGAAGAAAACACAAGGCUGAAGAAGAAGAAGAAAGUGCAGAUUUUGUAAAUGUCUGGUCAGGGUGGGUGCAAAACCCAGCGACUUUAGCU
This 238-nucleotide long non-coding RNA is filed under the name Cavia porcellus (domestic guinea pig). RNAcentral's name for it is "lncRNA (ENSCPOG00000033980.1)". The record is from RNAcentral. Lineage: Eukaryota; Metazoa; Chordata; Mammalia; Rodentia; Caviidae.